UCCUGUGCGGAGCGUGAACGCCGGGUUUCCACAUCCUCCAGCCCAGCAUCACCGUGGGCACAUGGCGCGGUGCCCGGGCCCACAGUUAAUCCCCUCAUCUGGCUCCCUCCCCCCUCCGGCUGCUGACAUCUUCAGCAUGGUGAUAUUGCGUUUCGAGUCAAGACUGUCAGAACUCAUUCCGAUAUAAAAAGCUGAAGAGUUCAGGACAAACACGUCAGACUUCAGGGAGAUUGAAGACGUGGAUGGUUGUUUGUGGAUGUUUCCUUUGUGUUGUUAGAUCCUGAUUGAGUUUCCUGCUGUUGGGUUCGUCAGAGCUCUUUGUUUCAUGGGACACUCAAAUACACAACAUUGUUUCCUGAGGCUGACUGGGCUAAAACGGAUCUGUUGGCCAUAAAUACUGAAGUAAAGACGACGAACACGAAUGUCAAGUGACGCUUGAAAAGCU
Molecule: long non-coding RNA, 445 nt
Organism: Scophthalmus maximus (turbot)
Lineage: Eukaryota; Metazoa; Chordata; Actinopteri; Pleuronectiformes; Scophthalmidae
Exons: 3
Source: RefSeq, a predicted model, not a curated record